RNAcentral lists this ribosomal RNA (498 nucleotides) under uncultured bacterium. RNAcentral's name for it is "bacterial SSU rRNA". It matches the Rfam family "Bacterial small subunit ribosomal RNA", at positions 28 to 516 of the family's 1533-position model. The record is from RNAcentral.
GAUGAACGCUAGCUACAGGCUUAACACAUGCAAGUCGAGGGGCAGCAUGAUUGAAGCUUGCUUCAAUUGAUGGCGACCGGCGCACGGGUGAGUAACACGUAUCCAACCUUCCGUACACUCAGGGAUAGCCUUUCGAAAGAAAGAUUAAUACCUGAUGGUAUCUUAAGCACACAUGUAAUUAAGAUUAAAGAUUUAUCGGUGUACGAUGGGGAUGCGUUCCAUUAGGUAGUAGGCGGGGUAACGGCCCACCUAGCCUACGAUGGAUAGGGGUUCUGAGAGGAAGGUCCCCCACAUUGGAACUGAGACACGGUCCAAACUCCUACGGGAGGCAGCAGUGAGGAAUAUUGGUCAAUGGACGAGAGUCUGAACCAGCCAAGUAGCGUGAAGGAUGAAGGUCCUACGGAUUGUAAACUUCUUUAUAAGGGAAUAAAACCUCCCACGUGUGGGAGCUUGUAUGUACCUUAUGAAUAAGCAUCGGCUAACUCCGUGCCAGCAGCC